RNAcentral lists this ribosomal RNA (1445 nucleotides) under uncultured organism. Its description in RNAcentral is "SSU rRNA". It matches the Rfam family "Bacterial small subunit ribosomal RNA". The record is from RNAcentral.
UACAGGCUUAACACAUGCAAGUCGAGGGGCAUCAGGAAGAAAGCUUGCUUUCUUUGCUGGCGACCGGCGCACGGGUGAGUAACACGUAUCCAACCUGCCCUUUACUCGGGGAUAGCCUUUCGAAAGAAAGAUUAAUACCCGAUAGCAUAAUGAUUCCGCAUGGUUUCAUUAUUAAAGGAUUCCGGUAAAGGAUGGGGAUGCGUUCCAUUAGGUUGUUGGUGAGGUAACGGCCCACCAAGCCUUCGAUGGAUAGGGGUUCUGAGAGGAAGGUCCCCCACAUUGGAACUGAGACACGGCCCAAACUCCUACGGGAGGCAGCAGUGAGGAAUAUUGGUCAAUGGGCGCUAGCCUGAACCAGCCAAGUAGCGUGAAGGAUGAAGGCUCUAUGGGUCGUAAACUUCUUUUAUAUAAGAAUAAAGUGCAGUAUGUAUACUGUUUUGUAUGUAUUAUAUGAAUAAGGAUCGGCUAACUCCGUGCCAGCAGCCGCGGUAAUACGGAGGAUCCGAGCGUUAUCCGGAUUUAUUGGGUUUAAAGGGAGCGUAGGUGGACUGGUAAGUCAGUUGUGAAAGUUUGCGGCUCAACCGUAAAAUUGCAGUUGAUACUGUCAGUCUUGAGUACAGUAGAGGUGGGCGGAAUUCGUGGUGUAGCGGUGAAAUGCUUAGAUAUCACGAAGAACUCCGAUUGCGAAGGCAGCUCACUGGACUGCAACUGACACUGAUGCUCGAAAGUGUGGGUAUCAAACAGGAUUAGAUACCCUGGUAGUCCACACAGUAAACGAUGAAUACUCGCUGUUUGCGAUAUACAGUAAGCGGCCAAGCGAAAGCAUUAAGUAUUCCACCUGGGGAGUACGCCGGCAACGGUGAAACUCAAAGGAAUUGACGGGGGCCCGCACAAGCGGAGGAACAUGUGGUUUAAUUCGAUGAUACGCGAGGAACCUUACCCGGGCUUAAAUUGCAGUGGAAUGAUGUGGAAACAUGUCAGUGAGCAAUCACCGCUGUGAAGGUGCUGCAUGGUUGUCGUCAGCUCGUGCCGUGAGGUGUCGGCUUAAGUGCCAUAACGAGCGCAACCCUUAUCUUUAGUUACUAACAGGUUAUGCUGAGGACUCUGGAGAGACUGCCGUCGUAAGAUGUGAGGAAGGUGGGGAUGACGUCAAAUCAGCACGGCCCUUACGUCCGGGGCUACACACGUGUUACAAUGGGGGGUACAGAAGGCAGCUAGCGGGUGACCGUAUGCUAAUCCCAAAAGCCUCUCUCAGUUCGGAUCGAAGUCUGCAACCCGACUUCGUGAAGCUGGAUUCGCUAGUAAUCGCGCAUCAGCCACGGCGCGGUGAAUACGUUCCCGGGCCUUGUACACACCGCCCGUCAAGCCAUGGGAGCCGGGGGUACCUGAAGUACGUAACCGCAAGGAUCGUCCUAGGGUAAAACUGGUGACUGGGGCUAAGUCAU